Molecule: long non-coding RNA, 883 nt
Organism: Eriocheir sinensis (Chinese mitten crab)
Lineage: Eukaryota; Metazoa; Arthropoda; Malacostraca; Decapoda; Varunidae
Exons: 4
Source: RefSeq, a predicted model, not a curated record
CGUGGGUGUACGGGCGUGAUCUUAAGUGUCUUCCUUUUUGAGAAAAUAAGGAUAUAUAUUUUUCGUGGCGGGCUGGGACAGUAACCUACCCCGUAACAUAUUUUUUCUUUUUCACGGCUAAAAUACAUCUUUCCUGCACUAAUCUCAUGUAUCCACGUAUGCACGGGCGUGGAAGGCUGUCGUGGGAAUUGAACUCGGGCUCUCUCGUUUGUGAGCCGAGUGUGCUAACCACUGCACCACGAAGCCCCCUGCUGGGUUGGGAGGGGGGGGGGGGCGGUUAGUUUGCAUAUAUGGACAUUUUUUGUGGUGUGUAGUGGGCUUGUGUAAUAGUGGUUUAGGUCUGGUAAUUCCUUGUAUUUUACAGAAACCACUACAUGCCGGAGAUGACCCGACCCGCCCCGCCCCGCCCCACCUUCCUGGCCUGCCCGCCCCCUGGCAUAAAUUGUUUCCAGAAACCCCUAAAUGACCGACUCUUCCAUGCCUGAGAUGACCCGCCCUGCCCUGCGUCAUGACCUCCCGGCAUACAUUGAAACCGUGCGCUGAAUGGGUGACUUUUCAAUGCUGGAGGUCCACUCCCUGACCCCCCGCCCUGCCCCGCCUCGCAUGUCACGACCUGCCCCUGCGUCAGUUGCUACUCUUCCUCGCACUCGGUCUCCUCGCUUUGCGCGGUGCCAGCCGCACGAGCAGCCUCCCGCCCCGGGCCUCCACCACCUGUGGCUUCGCGACGGGCGGCCUCGUGAGCACAACACAUGGCCCUCAGGGCGUCGACACUGCCGAUUGAGUCACACGCCUGGUACACUUGUUGCCUCAGUGUCACGUCACGGAGGACUCCCAUUAACUUUCUAAGCGACAAGUACUCCGACAAAUCUGUGCUACGCUGUUG